ACUGAGACACCUGUUCCUUUGUCCAGAUCACAUUUUUAGAUAUCACUGGAAGGAUUAAUUCCUCCUGUCCU
Ursus americanus (American black bear) is the source of this 71-nucleotide unclassified non-coding RNA. The record is from Ensembl. NCBI's taxonomy places the organism in Eukaryota, Metazoa, Chordata, Mammalia, Carnivora, Ursidae.